CUCCUAUUGAGCAAUUUGGGAAACUGGCUGUCACUCUUCACCUCAGAGUUGGACGACUUCAAACAAUCAGUGCCAUUCAUCCAGCAUAUGACCCACUAUCAUAUGUGCUGCUUCUACCACAGGGGUCCCAAGGAUACCACACUGAACUGAGAGGUGUCACCCCAACAUGCUUUUACCAUUUCCAUCUGCAAGUGCGAAACACUGCUCAUCAUUUCAAUCUACUGCUCCGCGGUGGAAGACUAACACAACAGUAUGUAUGUGACAUGAUGGCAAAAAUUGAGUCACAGCGUCUCAACUGGAUUCGCCACAAUCAGAAAUCUAUCAAGGCAGAAAAGUAUAAAGUCAUUGUUGAUGCCCUGAGUAGUGACACUGAGAUAAUCCCAGGACGCCUAACCAUCCUGCCACACACAAUUUAUGGAUCACCAAGAUGGUACGCCAGAGAAUUCCAAGACGCCAUGGCCUUGGUCAGAGUCAAAGGCAAGCCAGACUUCUUCCUCACCUUCACUUGCAACCCUAACUGGCCUGAAAUAAAAGGAUACAUUUUUGAGGGUCAACAGACCCACAAAAGACCAGACAUCAUUGCCAGUGUCUUCCACAUGAAGGUGGAGGCUCUCCUCACAGACAUCCUGAAAUAUGACAUUCUGGGACAUGUGGACGCAUUUGUGAUGGUGAAAGAAACUCAGAAGAGGCAUCUUCCUCAUAUACAUAUGCUCAUCACCAUGGUGCCACGCGACACACCCAGGACUUCCACUGAUAUUGAUCGCGUUGUGUCUGCAGAGAUUCCGGACAAAGAAACAAAUCCGGAAUUACAUCGCAUUGUCACAUCACACAUGAUUCAUGGACCAUGUGGACAAUGGAAUCGUGACAGUCCAUGCAUGGUUGACAGAAAGUGCUCCAAAGACUACCCCAAACAAUUGAGGCAAGACACAUGCUUCUCAGACAACUCUUACCCACUGUAUAGAAGACGAUCUGAAGAAGCGCCUGGCUCUCCCAUCUCAAAGACGAUCAAUAAUAAUGGGUUGUGCCAUACAAUCCAUACAUCCUUCUCCGAUACAAUGCACACAUUAACCUCGAAAUAGUCUGUGCUGUCUCCAGUGUGAAGUAUCUGUACAAAUACUUGGAGAAGGGUCCAGAUCAGUGCCUGG
Molecule: long non-coding RNA, 1145 nt
Filed under: Sparus aurata (gilthead seabream)
Lineage: Eukaryota; Metazoa; Chordata; Actinopteri; Spariformes; Sparidae
Description: lncRNA (ENSSAUG00010013191.1)
Source: RNAcentral